GACGAACCGUACAAACGUUAUUCGGAAUCACUGGGCUUAAAGGGUGCGUAGGCGGCGCGGAAAGUAGGGUGUGAAAUCCCUCGGCUCAACCGAGGAAUUGCGCCCUAAACUACCGUGCUCGAGGGAGAUAGAGGUGAGCGGAACUUAGGGUGGAGCGGUGAAAUGCGUUGAUAUCCUAAGGAACACCGGUGGCGAAAGCGGCUCACUGGAUCCCUUCUGACGCUGAGGCACGAAAGCUAGGGUAGCGAACGGG
RNAcentral lists this ribosomal RNA (253 nucleotides) under uncultured bacterium. RNAcentral describes it as "partial 16S ribosomal RNA". It matches the Rfam family "Bacterial small subunit ribosomal RNA", at positions 524 to 776 of the family's 1533-position model. The record is from RNAcentral.